This 224-nucleotide ribosomal RNA is filed under the name uncultured Lactobacillus sp. RNAcentral describes it as "partial 16S ribosomal RNA". It matches the Rfam family "Bacterial small subunit ribosomal RNA", at positions 138 to 355 of the family's 1533-position model. Lineage: Bacteria; Bacillati; Bacillota; Bacilli; Lactobacillales; Lactobacillaceae. The record is from RNAcentral.
UCGGGAUAACACCUGGAAACAGAUGCUAAUACCGGAUAACAACAGAUGAUGCCUAUCAACUGUUUAAAAGAUGGUUCUGCUAUCACUCUUGGAUGGACCUGCGGUGCAUUAGCUAGUUGGUAGGGUAACGGCCUACCAAGGCGAUGAUGCAUAGCCGAGUUGAGAGACUGAUCGGCCACAUUGGGACUGAGACACGGCCCAAACUCCUACGGGAGGCAGCAGCA